GUGACUGCGUACCUUUUGUAUAAUGGGUCAGCGACUUAUAUUCUGUAGCAAGGUUAACCGUAUAGGGGAGCCGAAGGGAAACCGAGUCUUAACUGGGCGUUAAGUUGCAGGGUAUAGACCCGAAACCCGGUGAUCUAGCCAUGGGCAGGUUGAAGGUUGGGUAACACUAACUGGAGGACCGAACCGACUAAUGUUGAAAAAUUAGCGGAUGACCUGUGGCUGGGGGUGAAAGGCCAAUCAAACCGGGAGAUAGCUGGUUCUCCCCGAAAGCUAUUUAGGUAGCGCCUCGUGAACUCAUCUUCGGGGGUAGAGCACUGUUUCGGCUAGGGGGCCAUCCCGGCUUACCAACCCGAUGCAAACUACGAAUACCGAAGAAUGUUAUCACGGGAGACACACGGCGGGUGCUAACGUCCGUCGUGAAGAGGGAAACAACCCAGACCGCCAGCUAAGGUCCCAAAGUCAUGGUUAAGUGGGAAACGAUGUGGGAAGGCACAGACAGCCAGGAUGUUGGCUUAGAAGCAGCCAUCAUUUAAAGAAAGCGUAAUAGCUCACUGGUCGAGUCGGCCUGCGCGGAAGAUGUAACGGGGCUAAACCAUGCACCGAAGCUGCGGCAGCGACACUAUGUGUUGUUGGGUAGGGGAGCGUUCUGUAAGCCGUUGAAGGUGUGCUGUGAGGCAUGCUGGAGGUAUCAGAAGUGCGAAUGCUGACAUAAGUAACGAUAAAGCGGGUGAAAAGCCCGCUCGCCGGAAGACCAAGGGUUCCUGUCCAACGUUAAUCGGGGCAGGGUGAGUCGACCCCUAAGGCGAGGCCGAAAGGCGUAGUCGAUGGGAAACAGGUUAAUAUUCCUGUACUUGGUGUUACUGCGAAGGGGGGACGGAGAAGGCUAUGUCAGCCGGGCGACGGUUGUCCCGGUUUAAGCAUGUAGGCGGAGGUUCCAGGUAAAUCCGGUACCUUAUUAACGCUGAGGUGUGAUGACGAGGCACUACGGUGCUGAAGUGAUAAAUGCCCUGCUUCCAGGAAAAGCCUCUAAGCAUCAGGUAACACGAAAUCGUACCCCAAACCGACACAGGUGGUCAGGUAGAGAAUACCAAGGCGCUUGAGAGAACUCGGGUGAAGGAACUAGGCAAAAUGGUGCCGUAACUUCGGGAGAAGGCACGCUGAUAUGUAGGUGAAGCCCCUGCGGGUGGAGCUGAAAUCAGUCGAAGAUACCAGCUGGCUGCAACUGUUUAUUAAAAACACAGCACUGUGCAAACACGAAAGUGGACGUAUACGGUGUGACGCCUGCCCGGUGCCGGAAGGUUAAUUGAUGGGGUUAGCGGCAACGCGAAGCUCUUGAUCGAAGCCCCGGUAAACGGCGGCCGUAACUAUAACGGUCCUAAGGUAGCGAAAUUCCUUGUCGGGUAAGUUCCGACCUGCACGAAUGGCGUAAUGAUGGCCAGGCUGUCUCCACCCGAGACUCAGUGAAAUUGAACUCGCUGUGAAGAUGCAGUGUACCCGCGGCAAGACGGAAAGACCCCGUGAACCUUUACUAUAGCUUGACACUGAACACUGGUCCUUGAUGUGUAGGAUAGGUGGGAGGCUUUGAAGCGUGGACGCCAGUCUGCGUGGAGCC
Molecule: ribosomal RNA, 1612 nt
Filed under: Enterobacter hormaechei
Lineage: Bacteria; Pseudomonadati; Pseudomonadota; Gammaproteobacteria; Enterobacterales; Enterobacteriaceae
Also listed under: 1 other name
Description: partial 23S ribosomal RNA
Rfam family: Bacterial large subunit ribosomal RNA
Source: RNAcentral